CUCAGCUCAGCCGCAGUCGGCUCGGAUCAGAAGACCUUGGGUGCCAGGCCAAGCCCAUUCUGAGAGCCUGCUGCCACGCUGUCCUUGGGGGAGCUCCAUCUUCCAGCUGCACAGGCAAGUGUCCCCAACCCAGCGAGGGUGCCUGCUCCGGGCCAGCUUCUGGGGGACGCCCUCCCCUGGUGACCCGCCUCUGCACCCCCACGGCCAAGGAGUUCAGCGCAGCAUCCUUCCCCUACCCCCUGG
RNAcentral lists this long non-coding RNA (243 nucleotides) under Mustela putorius furo (domestic ferret). Its description in RNAcentral is "lncRNA (ENSMPUG00000032021.1)". The record is from RNAcentral. Lineage: Eukaryota; Metazoa; Chordata; Mammalia; Carnivora; Mustelidae.